CUGUUCUUGUUCUUUACUUCAGUCGUUCCCGCUGACCGCUCUGUCACGCCAACUUGUCUGUCAGAGUUCAGACAAUUGGACAUCGCGAAGUAUAAAAAGGUGUAAAUUUUAAGUGCAGUGAAUUAUUUGUGAAAUUCCAAAGAUUAUUGUAGUAGAACUGGAACUGUAGAGCUGCGAAUACCCUUUAAUGGGCUUAUUGCAUAUCUGACUGAAUAUCUAAGUAAGAUAAAAGCAAGAAAUAAACAGUUAAAAGCGUAAUUAAUUGUUCAAUAUAAAAUACUUUUUUUUUCAUCUGAAUGCAUUCGCGAAUUUGUUUUAGUAGUUAAUGCAAUCUACUUUGCCAUGUAAAACAGCGCUUCACGGUUGUUUGUGUGCCGCAACAUGGCGUAUGAGUGAUGCUAUAAAUUACCUCAGAUUCGUUCUAUGCGAUUUUGCCAAUGAGCUGCCUAUUGAUGACUCUGCAGCAGCAGCAGCAACAACAAUAACAAAAACAACAACAACUACAACAACAACUGCAACAGCAACAUGCACGUAGGGGUCAUUAUGUUAGAUUUGAAUUUCUAUGCCAUGGUCUGGGACGCCAGCAGCUGGGCCCGAGAGCUAAAUACAAUGACACGAAAAAAACUUAAUGAUAAAACACACUCCAAGCCACAGACAACAAACAAAUAAACAAAGCACCCAGCGAUGGAUAUAUGGACAAUGUUUCCCUCCUAAAAGCACUUGGCAAUUAAUUAUGCUUGUGAAUAUGAAAUGUUCGUACAAUACGAAUGCAUAUCGAAUCCUACGGGCCAAUUUGGAAGAUAAUAAGGCGAUAAAAACGUGAUAUUACUGAAUAUUUGAG
Molecule: long non-coding RNA, 841 nt
Organism: Drosophila virilis
Lineage: Eukaryota; Metazoa; Arthropoda; Insecta; Diptera; Drosophilidae
Source: RefSeq, a predicted model, not a curated record